AUUGAAACACUGGUACCCAUACAAUCACCAAAGUUAAGCAAUGUUGAGUUUGGAUAGUAGCUAAAUGGGUGACCACUUAGGAAUAUCAAGUACUGUAAG
Non-coding RNA from Acanthosepion pharaonis, 99 nucleotides. Lineage: Eukaryota; Metazoa; Mollusca; Cephalopoda; Sepiida; Sepiidae. The record is from the annotation of a GenBank genome assembly.